UAUGGUUUCACCACUUUUGGAUGUGUUUUUAAGGAUGGUGUCUAUUUCUCUGCUUGUAAGAAAGAGGAACUGACAACUGAACUGAUUCUGUCGUGGCUGAAGCUAUAGCUAUCCGUUGGUGUCUCCAAUUAGCAAAGGAAAAAGGUCUUCUUGAUUUUAGAAUCCAAUUUGAUGCUCUUGCUGUAGUUGAGUGCUUUAGAGGCUCAAAUUCUCUUGCUUGUAUUGAUUUGAUAAUUGCUGACUCUAAAAGUGUGUUUGGAUGGAAGAAUCUUUUGAG
This 277-nucleotide long non-coding RNA is filed under the name Medicago truncatula (barrel medic). Its description in RNAcentral is "long non-coding RNA (MTRU_LNC001041)". The record is from RNAcentral. Lineage: Eukaryota; Viridiplantae; Streptophyta; Magnoliopsida; Fabales; Fabaceae.